CCCUUAGAUGUUCGGGGCUGCACACGCGCUACACUGGAGGAAACAGCGUGUAUUGACCUGGUCCGAAAGGACUGGGUAAACCUGUGAAACUUCUCCGUGCUUGGGAUAGCGGAUUGCAAUUGUUUCGCUUCAACGAGGAAUUCCUAGUAAGCGUAAGUCAUAAGCUUGCGCUGAUUACGUCCCUGCCCUUUGUACACACCGCCCGUCGCUACGACCGACUGAACGUUUUAGUGAGCUCCUCGGAUUGUCAGCCUGGCGGUUAAUCCUGCCUGGCUAGCGAAAAGACGAGCAAACUUGAGCGUUUAGAGGAAGUAAAAGUCGUAACA
This 326-nucleotide ribosomal RNA is filed under the name uncultured eukaryote. Its description in RNAcentral is "partial 18S ribosomal RNA". It matches the Rfam family "Eukaryotic small subunit ribosomal RNA", at positions 1470 to 1796 of the family's 1831-position model. The record is from RNAcentral.